RNAcentral lists this non-coding RNA (728 nucleotides) under Pan troglodytes (chimpanzee). The record is from RNAcentral. Lineage: Eukaryota; Metazoa; Chordata; Mammalia; Primates; Hominidae.
AGAGAGGCGCUAUGCCUCCCUGCCGGCGACACGAUACAGCGCUGCAGAACCGACCCCGACGCAGCCGCCAUCGCUGAUACCACUGCCAGUCAUGCGGUUCCGCCCCUGCGUUGCCGCGCGGGGCCGCGCACGCAAAUACGCAGGCACGCGCGGGAGCGCGCCUGGGAGCGCGCAUGCGCAGCGCUGCUGGCCCGCUCUCUGAGGAGCUUUCAAUACUUUGGGGUCAAGUUUGAGGCAGUUGUAACUGUACUGAGUUUAGUUUUGCUAAUAAUGGUAUUCUACGUGUGUCAGCCUCGUGUGGACUUCUGUAAUGACUAAUGGAUAUGUUUAUAUCCUGAGCAUUUGCUGUAGGAAUUUUAAAUGCAUUCCCAAAACUCAAGAUUACCUUAUUUGGAGAAAUAUUAGUGUUACUAUGUUUAAAAUUUAAUAGAUAGAACCAUAUUUUACCUUUCACUUUGGGACUCGCACAGGAUGUUUGCAGCUCUUGAUAUACAGGAACUAGAACGUGUCUUUUAAGAGCAUGCGGUUUUAUAAUUACGUGGAAGUAUGCUACGCAAGGGAAAAAAGCCUCUUGCUAGUGUUAAGGGUCUUUAUAAACAGAAACCGCAAGGAACCUGGGAUCUGACAGCUGUUGGAGGAAUGCCUGUGAGGAAGGAGGAGGAACAGAAGAAUGCUUCGAUGUCUUAAAUGGUACAUCCAAACUUAAGUGAAAUAGAGCUGUGAGGACA